GUGGAUUAGAUACCCUGGUAGUCCACGCCCUAAACGAUGAAUACUCGUUGUUGGCGAUAUACAGUCAGCGACUAAGCGAAAGCGUUAAGUAUUCCACCUGGGGAGUACGUUCGCAAGGAUGAAACUCAAAGAAAUUGGCGGGGGUCCGCACAAGCGGUGGAUUAUGUGGUUUAAUUCGAUGAUACGCGAGGAACCUUACCAGGGCUAGAAUGGGAGGAGAAUAUGGGUGAAAGCUCAUAGCUAGCAAUAGCUGCUUCCAAGGUGCUGCACGGCUGUCGUCAACU
RNAcentral lists this ribosomal RNA (284 nucleotides) under uncultured bacterium. Its description in RNAcentral is "partial 16S ribosomal RNA". It matches the Rfam family "Bacterial small subunit ribosomal RNA", at positions 773 to 1060 of the family's 1533-position model. The record is from RNAcentral.